RNAcentral lists this unclassified non-coding RNA (675 nucleotides) under Hevea brasiliensis (rubber tree). Lineage: Eukaryota; Viridiplantae; Streptophyta; Magnoliopsida; Malpighiales; Euphorbiaceae. The record is from RNAcentral.
CCGCAUGCCAUCCCAAGUUCUUCAAUUGUUACACAGGCAGACCCAAUAAGAAAUUUCGGCAGAUAUGAGAUUAACAGAUCCUAAAACUGUAAAAGGUAAGCUUUCAUAAAUAUAGACUACAAGCUAUGCAAAACAACUCCUAUUGCUAAUUGGUUAGGUAAGCUCCUGCAAUGUGUCUUUAAACAGGGUAGCUAGGUCCUAGUGACCACUCUCUGCAAGCUCUGCUUGUCCACUCUUUUGUGUAUUAUUGCUCAAAUGUUGUUCAUCCCUGCCAGACCUAAACUCUUCAUGCCCACCGAAUUCCCCAAGUCUCUCCUUGAGAGAUGCAUUUUCCGCAAGAAGUUGCUCGUAGUCGCUCUUGAUCCGGUUUACUUCUGAUCGCAGAUUGGCAUUUUCUUCUUUUAGGGCUUCAGCACGCUGGGCCAGCUCAUCACAUUCAGCCUGUUUGCGCAAUCUAGAACGGCGAGCUGAUUCUCUGUUUGACUGUUUUCUCCUCUGUCUCUUCAGCUCUCUUUCAUCCUGUAACCAAAUCUGUGAUUGAACAGUAUCCCGAGAUCCAGUAGUAACAAUUCCUCCAGCUACUGGAGUAGCUGGAACCUUCCCACGGAUUGCAGGGAUAGUAGAUGAAGCUGGGGCUCCCCAGUAGUCCAUUCCAAUAUUUAAGUUGGUUGUGGG